RNAcentral lists this ribosomal RNA (253 nucleotides) under uncultured bacterium. RNAcentral's name for it is "partial 16S ribosomal RNA". It matches the Rfam family "Bacterial small subunit ribosomal RNA", at positions 524 to 776 of the family's 1533-position model. The record is from RNAcentral.
UACAGAGGUCCCAAGCGUUGUUCGGAUUUACUGGGCGUAAAGGGUGCGUAGGAGGUUGGCAAAGUCGGAUGUGAAAUCUCACCGCUUAACGGUGAAAUUGCGUUCGAUACUGGUUGACUAGAGUAUCGGAGGGGAAAGCGGAAUUCCUGGUGUAGCGGUGAAAUGCGUAGAUAUCAGGAGGAACACCAACGGCGAAGGCAGCUUUCUGGACGAUAACUGACUCUGAGGCACGAAGGCUAGGGGAGCGAACGGG